UACGUAGGGGGCAAGCGUUGUCCGGAUUUAUUGGGCGUAAAGAGCGUGUAGGCGGCCAGGUAGGUCUGCUGUGAAAACUCGAGGCUCAACCUCGAGACGUCGGCGGAAACCAUCUGGCUAGAGUCCGGAAGAGGAGAGUGGAAUUCCUGGUGUAGCGGUGAAAUGCGCAGAUAUCUGGAGGAACACCGGUGGCGAAGGCGACAUCCUGGACCAAUACUGACGCUGAGUGAGCGAAAGCCAGGGGAGCAAACGGG
This 254-nucleotide ribosomal RNA is filed under the name uncultured bacterium. Its description in RNAcentral is "partial 16S ribosomal RNA". It matches the Rfam family "Bacterial small subunit ribosomal RNA", at positions 524 to 776 of the family's 1533-position model. The record is from RNAcentral.